RNAcentral lists this ribosomal RNA (385 nucleotides) under uncultured bacterium. RNAcentral's name for it is "bacterial SSU rRNA". It matches the Rfam family "Bacterial small subunit ribosomal RNA", at positions 30 to 414 of the family's 1533-position model. The record is from RNAcentral.
AUUGAACGCUGGCGGCAUGCCUUACACAUGCAAGUCGAACGGCAGCACGGGGGCAACCCUGGUGGCGAGUGGCGAACGGGUGAGUAAUAUAUCGGAACGUACCCUGGAGUGGGGGAUAACGUAGCGAAAGUUACGCUAAUACCGCAUACGAUCUAAGGAUGAAAGUGGGGGAUCGCAAGACCUCAUGCUCCUGGAGCGGCCGAUAUCUGAUUAGCUAGUUGGUGGGGUAAAGGCCUACCAAGGCAUCGAUCAGUAGCUGGUCUGAGAGGACGACCAGCCACACUGGGACUGAGACACGGCCCAGACUCCUACGGGAGGCAGCAGUGGGGAAUUUUGGACAAUGGGGGCAACCCUGAUCCAGCAAUAGCCGCGUGAGUGAAGAAGG